CCUACGGGUGGCAGCAGUGAGGAAUAUUGGUCAAUGGCCGGAAGGCUGAACCAGCCAAGCCGCGUGAAGGACGAAGGUGCCAAGCAUUGUAAACUUCUUUUGUCAAGGGACAAAAUCAGGCUCGAGAGCCUGACCGAGGGUACUUGAAGAAAAAGCAUCGGAUAAACCCGUGCCAGCAGCCGCGGUAAUACGGAGGAUGCGAGCGUUAUCCGGAUUUAUUGGGUUUAAAGGGUGCGUAGGCGGACUGUUAAGUCAGCGGUAAAAGCCCGGGGCUCAACCCCGGCGAGCCGUUGAAACUGGCUAUCUUGAGAUGUCGAGAGGGAUGCGGAAUGCGCGGUGUAGCGGUGAAAUGCUUAGAUAUUGCGCAGAACUCCGAUUGCGAAGGCAGCAUACCGGCGGCGAUCUGACGCUGAGGUGCGAAAGCGUGGGUAGCGAACAGGAUUAGAUACCCCUGUAGUC
RNAcentral lists this ribosomal RNA (459 nucleotides) under uncultured bacterium. Its description in RNAcentral is "partial 16S ribosomal RNA". It matches the Rfam family "Bacterial small subunit ribosomal RNA", at positions 338 to 795 of the family's 1533-position model. The record is from RNAcentral.